UCAGGGGCAACUCUGAAUCUGAAGGAAGCAGCAGGCAAACUCUCGGUUCGAGGUACACGAACCGUAUACGAGGCGACGACCCGGUGGGCGAGAAGGCACGAAGAUUCAAAGCCCAAUGUCAUUCGGACCGAGUCGGCGUAUAUGCGGCGAAUAUACGAGAGGAAAGUUACGCGU
Non-coding RNA from Pirellula sp. SH-Sr6A, 174 nucleotides. Lineage: Bacteria; Pseudomonadati; Planctomycetota; Planctomycetia; Pirellulales; Pirellulaceae. The record is from Rfam.